CCUACGGGAGACAGCAGUGAGGAAUAGUGGUCAAUGGACGAGAGUCUGAACCAGCCAAGUAGCGUGAAGGAUGACUGCCCUAUGGGUUGUAAACUUCUGUUAUAGGGGAAUAAAAUGUGCCACGUGUGGGAUUUUGUAUGUACCAUAUGAAUAAGGAUCGGCUAACGCCGUGACAGCAGCCGCGGUAAUACGGAGGAUCCGAGCGUUAUCCGGCUUUAUUGGGGUGAAAGGGAGCGUAGGGGGCUUGUUAAGUCAGUUGUGAAAGUUUGCGGCUCACCCGUCAAAUUGCAGUUGAAACUGGCAGUCUUGCGUACAGUAGCGGUGGGCGGACUUCGUGUUGUAGCCG
Molecule: ribosomal RNA, 346 nt
Filed under: uncultured bacterium
Lineage: Bacteria
Description: partial 16S ribosomal RNA
Rfam family: Bacterial small subunit ribosomal RNA
Source: RNAcentral